This 578-nucleotide ribosomal RNA is filed under the name Arthrobacter sp. T9T. RNAcentral's name for it is "bacterial SSU rRNA". It matches the Rfam family "Bacterial small subunit ribosomal RNA", at positions 85 to 677 of the family's 1533-position model. The record is from RNAcentral. Lineage: Bacteria; Bacillati; Actinomycetota; Actinomycetes; Micrococcales; Micrococcaceae.
CCGGGAAUUAGUGGCGAACGGGUGAGUAACACGUGAGUAACCUGCCCUUGACUCUGGGAUAAGCCUGGGAAACCGGGUCUAAUACCGGAUAUGACCUUUCACCGCAUGGUGGGGGGUGGAAAGAUUUUUUGGUUUUGGAUGGACUCGCGGCCUAUCAGCUUGUUGGUGGGGUAAUGGCCUACCAAGGCGACGACGGGUAGCCGGCCUGAGAGGGUGACCGGCCACACUGGGACUGAGACACGGCCCAGACUCCUACGGGAGGCAGCAGUGGGGAAUAUUGCACAAUGGGCGCAAGCCUGAUGCAGCGACGCCGCGUGAGGGAUGACGGCCUUCGGGUUGUAAACCUCUUUCAGCAGGGAAGAAGCGAAAGUGACGGUACCUGCAGAAGAAGCGCCGGCUAACUACGUGCCAGCAGCCGCGGUAAUACGUAGGGCGCAAGCGUUGUCCGGAAUUAUUGGGCGUAAAGAGCUCGUAGGCGGUUUGUCGCGUCUGCUGUGAAAGCCCGGGGCUCAACCCCGGGUCUGCAGUGGGUACGGGCAGACUGGAGUGCAGUAGGGGAGACUGGAAUUCCUGGUGUA